UCACUUCCGCAGUGCACAGACCAAAACUGGAACAACACAGAGAAGAUUAGCAUGGCCCCUGUGCGAGAAGGACUUGCAAAUUCGUGAUGCGUUCCAUAUUUAU
Small nuclear RNA from Suricata suricatta (meerkat), 103 nucleotides. The record is from Ensembl. Lineage: Eukaryota; Metazoa; Chordata; Mammalia; Carnivora; Herpestidae.